UUUUCUACUUUACUCAUUUCACCUAAGUGGGUGGGGAUAGGGAUAGGUAAAUUCUUCUGCUAUUUGGAUAUUACCAAAUCCAUUUUUAAGGUCCAGAAUUUGCCACCCCUGAAGAUUUUAGAAAAGAUGCCUUAGGAUCUGACAGCCACUCCUAAUGAAGACUUCCAGAAGUAUUUAAAGCAACACACAAGCUCCAGAGAGCCUUUGCCUAAGCCCACCGUCAAAUAAGCACUUAAGUUCUCAUAUGUGUUCAACAACCCAUCAGUGAACAAACACACAGUCUGCAGGUUUAAAGUGAUUGGUGCCCACAGUACAUCCAGAGAAUUUUCCAGAUUUUUGUUUGUUUGUUUUUGUUUUUUGAGACAAAGUCUCACUCUGUUGCCCAGGCUGGAGUGCAGUGAUGCAGUCUUGGCUGACUGCAACCUCCACUUCCCAGGCUCAAGUGAUCCUCAGCUUUCCUAGUAGCUGGAACUACAGGUGUGCACCACCACACCUGGCUAAUUUUUUGUAUUUUUUGUAGAGACGAGGUUUCGCAGUGUUGCCAAGGCUGGUCUCCAACUCCUGAGCUCAAAGUGAUCCUCCCACCUUGGCUUCCCAGAGUGCUGGGAUUACAGGCAUGAGCUGCUGGGAUUAUAGCAGUCUGGCUUCCAGCAAAGCUCUCUCGUCCGGAAAAAUGGAUACUUCUCUGGAAUGCCCUUAUCUAUUAGGAAUCUAAAUAGUUUGAUGUAUUGAUACUGUUUUUUAGUUUGACUGCAUACUUCCUAAAGAUAGGGAAGGCCAGUGCAUGUAUAUUUCUCUCCAUUGCUUACAAGAUUUAGUAUUUAUUACAUAGAAUUAUUGUAGAAUUCAAGUUAAAUAGGAUAUAUAAAGUGCUUAGUGACAUGAGAAGGGCUAAAAUAAAUGUUAGUAUUAUAGCACUCAGCUUAUAGCAGGUUCUCACGAAGAAGUUAUUGAAGUUUAUUUCACCUGAAGAGUCUGAAACACAUUUCUAUCCCUGACAAUUAAUAUAUAUCUUAGGAAAGAAAACAGUGCCAUAUGACAGACUGACAAUCUCAAAUCUUGAUAACUUUUAGACUGUAUAUUCCAUCAUAAACGUGUAACAAAUUAGACAAUGGACCCCCACAUGCUCUGAAUCAUGGAGAUCACUGGCAGAAACAACACCUACAGUGAGAACAUCAUUUCCAUCUGGUCAAAUGUCAUGACUCCACUCAGCCAAUCAAAAGACCUCCCCUACCAAAGCCCUCCAGAGCUUUUUAAUAAUUCAUGAUAAUCCUUAGCUUCUCCUCAGUAGCCCACAGCCAGAGAAGAAUGAUUGAUAAUCCAAAAAUCAUUUAUAAUUGACUCAAAUUUAUUUUCCUAGAUGCCUUCCCUUUCAAUGGAUUUAUCUCCCCAUUGAUUCCUGGCUUAUACAGUGCUGACAUCCCUUUGUUUGCCUUUGUCAGGGCAAGAACCAAGGCAGAACGAGAGAUGAAUCUAGGACACUCUCUACUUUGUGUCUCUCUGAAGUCCUCACCCUAAAAUCAAUGUGAGAAAAGUGAGGGUUCUCAUAAUAAUGCCUCCCAUCCCCACAGGAACAGAAGCAUACCCACAUCCACCGCAGGCCUAGGAACUGGGCUGCUUGAUCCAGCUCAGAUGCUCAAGAGUGGUAAGGGCUUUAUGUGCAGUAAACUGGGCCUGCCGAAACAAUCUGCAGGUGUGUGUAUGCAGGGGAGGAUGUAGGGGCAUGUGGAGUGUGCGUGCGUGCGUGUGUGUGCGUGUGUGUGUGUGUGUGUGUGUGUGGUGUUAGGGGAGCAUAUGGAUGUGUGAUGUGUGGUAUAUUCCUGUGUGUGAUAUAUGUGUGGGGUGUGGGGGUUAUGUCUGCGUGUGUGGGGGCGUGUGAUGUAUGUGGAGUAUUAACGUGUAUGUGUGAAGUGGGGGGUAUAUGUGUGUGAGAUGGAUGUAGGGAAUGUGUGCAGGUAUGUGCUAUAGCAUGAAUGUAGGAAGUGUGGCGAGUGUGGGGGUGCUUGUGGUGUGUGUGGCUGUGUGGCAUUCUGUGGUGUGUGUGUAUUGUAUAUGUGUGAUAUGUGGUGUCUGUGUCUUAUGAUGUACGCAGUGUGUGUGUGUGUGGGAGUAAGUGUGUGUGUGUGUGUGUGUGUGUAUGGGAGUAUGUGUGUGUGUGGGAGUGUAUGUGUGUGUUGUGUGUGUGUAUGGGAGUAUGUGUGUGUGUGUGGGAGUGUGUGUAUGUUGUGUGUGUAUGGGAGUAUGUGUGUGUGUGUGUGUUGUGUGUGUGUGUGGGAGUGUGUGUAUGUUGUGUGUGUAUGGGAGUGUGUGUGUGGGAGUGUAUGUGUGUGUUGUGUGUGUGUAUGGGAGUAUGUGUGUGUGUGUGGGAGUGUGUGUAUGUUGUGUGUGUAUGGGAGUAUGUGUGUGUGUGUUGUGUGUGUGUGUGUGGGAGUGUGUGUAUGUUGUGUGUGUAUGGGAGUAUGUGUGUGUGUGUUGUGUGUGCGUGUAUGGGAGUAUGUGUGUGUGUUGUGUGUGUAUGAGAGUGUGUGUGUGUUGUGUGUGUAUGAGAGUGUGUGUGUGUUGUGUGUGUGUAUGGGAGUGUGUGUGUGUGUUGUGUGUGUGUAUAUGGGAGUAUGUGUAUGUGUUGUGUGUGUGUAUGGGAGUGUGUGUGUGUUGUGUGUGUGUAUGGGAGUAUGCGUGUGUGUGUGUUGUGUGUGUAUAUGGGAGUGUGUGUGUGUGUGUUGUGUGUGUAUGGGAGUAUGUGUGUGUGUUGUGUGUGUGUGUAUAUGGGAGUAUGUGUGUGUGUGUGUUGUGUGUGUGUAUGGGAGUAUGUGUGUGUGUUGUGUGUGUGAUAUAUGUGGGCUGUGUCUGUAUGUGUGCAUGUAUAUGUGGGGGUGUCUCUGUGUGUGUGGUGUGUGGUGUGUGUGUGUAUGUAGGGGGUAUGCUAUACAAUGUGUGGUAUGUGGUAUAUUGUAUGUCUGUGUGUGUGUGUAUGUCUGUGUGUGUAUGAUGUAUGUGGGGGUGUGGUAUAUAGUGUGUGGUAUGUGUGUCUAUAUGUAUAUGUGUGAUGUGUACAUCUCUGUAUGUUAUGAUGUUAUGUAGGGGUCAUAUGUGGUAUAUAGUGUGUAGUGUGUGGUGUGUUUGUGUGUGGUGUGCAUAUAUCUGUGUGUAUAUGUAUGAUGUAUGUGGAGGGGUGGUAUGUAAUGUGUGGUGUGUCUGUGUGUGCAUAUGUGUGUGAUGUGUAUAUGUGUGUGUAUGAUGUAUGGGGGCAUGUGCAGUAUGUGUUAUGUGGUGUGUCUGUAUGUGUGUGAUAUAUAUGUCUGUGUGUGUUUAUGAUGUAUGUGAGGGUCAUGUGUGGUGUGAGGUAUGUCUGUGGUAUGUAUAUGUCUGUAUGCGUAUGAUGUAUGUGGGAGGGUAUGUGGUAUGUGGUGUGUGGUGUGUCUGAGUGUGAUAUAUGGUGUGUGGUGUGUAUGUGUGUAUAUGUGUUUGGUGUGCAUAUGUCUGUGUGUGUAUCAUUUAUGUGGGGGAUAUGUGGUAUGUGGUGUGUCUGUGUAUGUAUGUGUGUGUGUAUGAUGUGUGUGGGAGGUGUGUGUGGUGCACCUAUGUGUGAUGUGUCUGUGUGUAUAUGUAUGUGGUAUGCAUAUGUCUGUGUGUGUGUACAAUGUAUGUGGGGUGUGGUAGUGGUGUAUGGUGUGUCUGUGUGUGACGUGUCUGUGUCUGUAUACGUGUUUGGUGUGCAUAUGUCUGUGUGCAUGUACAAUGUAUGUGGGGGUGUAUGGUAUGUGGUGUGUCUGUGUGUAUGUGUGUGGUGUGCAUAUGUCUGUGUGUGUGUGCACGAUGUACAUGGGGGGGUGGAAUGUGGUGUGUGGUGUGUCUCUGUGUGUGUGUAUGAGAGAGAGGUGCUCCUUAGAGGUCUUCACUGCCUCUACACUGACCCUUGCAGAUGAGAUGCGCAGCCCAGACACACAAUGCACAGUUGCCUCGGGCAGUGAGAAGUGGGAAAACAGCUGAGAGCUAUAGAAAUUCAGAGACUAGAAAUGUCCCAGAUUUCCAGUAAUAAAAUGGGUAAUAUGGGAUGGCUUGCUUGAGGGACACCAAAUCUUGAAGAAUGGGUAAGUUUGGGAUGGGCAGAGAGGAUGUGGGCGGAGAAGGUGAGUGGGAGAACAAAGUACAGGAACUGAGAAAGAACAGUGAAAGUGUAUUUUAGCUGAAGGAUCAAAGAUGAACUUGGGGAGCAAAGAAAUCCACUGCUUCAUCACCUUGUUUCUCCCGGAAAGCAAAUAGGAGAAAGACCUUUAUAACUGCAUCCGUAUAAUUCUAUCCACAAACUUUUUCCACGGAAUGUGAUCUUUUAGGAGCACAUAUGAAAGAAGAAACAAGACCCAGGCCACCAGCCACUGAACAAGACUCUCUUUGUUCCAGCCCCAGUUGCCUCCCUGACCUCCCAAGCAGGGCAGAGUUUCCCGAAACACUUAAGACGUCAGCCCGUCAGUACAUGAGCACCGUGUGUUCAGACAGGCUUGUUCAAAAUCACUUGGCAGGCCUGGCGGGAUGGCUGGGAAGCCUGUACCAUUCAGAUGACC
Molecule: RNA transcript, 4562 nt
Organism: Symphalangus syndactylus (siamang)
Lineage: Eukaryota; Metazoa; Chordata; Mammalia; Primates; Hylobatidae
Gene name: keratin-associated protein 5-1-like
Source: RefSeq, a predicted model, not a curated record